Molecule: long non-coding RNA, 264 nt
Filed under: Carica papaya (papaya)
Lineage: Eukaryota; Viridiplantae; Streptophyta; Magnoliopsida; Brassicales; Caricaceae
Description: long non-coding RNA (CPAP_LNC006411)
Source: RNAcentral
GUGAGAGAUCCUUACAUAAAUCGGUGUUUUGGGAUGUUUCGCUGCCUACUAUACUUCCUAACGGGUACCAAAUUUCUUGAAUUAUCCAUGCGAAAUCCAAACACUUGUCACAUACCUAAAAAAUAUCAUAAAAAUCCAAAAUCGAUGUCCAAAAUCUAUUACGACCAAUUUUGGAGUUUCGGCACGGUGGUUACGCCGUGCUCUGGUGCCGGUUUUGGCGUCCACGGCAGCAGUUCGCCUCAGCCUAGCCAGUUUUGGUCGNNN